GAUCCUGGCUCAGGAUGAACGCUAGCUACAGGCUUAACACAUGCAAGUCGAGGGGCAGCAGAUCGAAAGCUUGCUUUGAUGCUGGCGACCGGCGCACGGGUGAGUAACGCGUAUCCAACCUUCCCUAUAGUAGAGAAUAGCCCGGCGAAAGUCGGAUUAAUGCUCUAUGUUGUAUUUAGAAGACAUCUGAAGAAUACCAAAGGUUUACCGCUAUAGGAUGGGGAUGCGUCUGAUUAGGUAGUAGGCGGGGUAACGGCCCACCUAGCCGACGAUCAGUAGGGGUUCUGAGAGGAAGGUCCCCCACAUUGGAACUGAGACACGGUCCAAACUCCUACGGGAGGCAGCAGUGAGGAAUAUUGGUCAAUGGACGGAAGUCUGAACCAGCCAAGUAGCCGUGCAGGAUGACGGCCCUAUGGGUUGUAAACUGCUUUUAUAUAGGGAUAAAGUCGGGGACGUGUCCCCGUUUGUAGGUACUAUAUGAAUAAGGACCGGCUAAUUCCGUGCCAGCAGCUGC
RNAcentral lists this ribosomal RNA (514 nucleotides) under uncultured bacterium. Its description in RNAcentral is "bacterial SSU rRNA". It matches the Rfam family "Bacterial small subunit ribosomal RNA", at positions 15 to 518 of the family's 1533-position model. The record is from RNAcentral.